RNAcentral lists this ribosomal RNA (492 nucleotides) under uncultured bacterium. RNAcentral describes it as "partial 16S ribosomal RNA". It matches the Rfam family "Bacterial small subunit ribosomal RNA", at positions 29 to 507 of the family's 1533-position model. The record is from RNAcentral.
AGUGAACGCUGGCGGUAGGCCUAACACAUGCCAGUCGAACGGCAGCACAGUAAGAGCUUGCUCUUACGGGUGGCGAGUGGCGGACGGGUGAGGAAUACAUCGGAAUCUACUUUUUCGCGGGGGAUAACGUAGGGAAACUUACGCUAAUACCGCAUACGACCUACGGGUGAAAGCAGGGGAUCUUCGGACCUUGCGCGAUUGAAUGAGCCGAUGUCGGAUUAGCUAGUUGGCGGGGUAAAGGCCCACCAAGGCGACGAUCCGUAGCUGGUCUGAGAGGAUGAUCGGCCACACUGGAAGUGAGACACGGUCCAGACUCCUGCGGGACGCAGCAGUGGGGAAUAUUGGACAAUGGGCGCAAGCCUGAUCCAGCCAUACCGCGUGGGUGAAGAAGGCCUUCGGGUUGUAAAGCCCUUUUGUUGGGAAAGAAAAGCAGCAGGUUAAUACCCCGCUGUUCUGACGGUACCCAAAGAAUAAGCACCGGCUAACUUCGUG